AACGAACGCUGGCGGCAUGCCUAACACAUGCAAGUCGAACGAGACCUCCGGGUCUUGUGGCGCAUGGGUGCGUAACGCGUGGGAACCUGCCCUUAGGUUCGGAAUAACUCUCCGAAAGGGGUGCUAAUACCGGAUAAUGUCUUCGGACCAAAGAUUUAUCGCCUUUGGAUGGGCCGGCGUUUGAUUAGCUGGUUGGUAGGGUAAAAGCCUACUACGGCGUCGAUCCAUAGCUGGUUUGAGAGAAUGGUCAGCCACACUGAGACGAAGAAGCGGCCGAGAAUCCUACGCAAUGCGGGAGAGGGGGAUAUUGGAAAGUGGGGGGAGGGAUGAAGGAGCUAGGCUGGGAAAGUGCUGAAGGGCGUGGAGUAGAAAAGCUCUUGUACCCGGGAUGAUAAUGACGGUACCGAAAGAAUAAGCACCGGCUAACUCCGUG
Molecule: ribosomal RNA, 433 nt
Filed under: uncultured bacterium
Lineage: Bacteria
Description: partial 16S ribosomal RNA
Rfam family: Bacterial small subunit ribosomal RNA
Source: RNAcentral